This 58-nucleotide transfer RNA is filed under the name Parnassius nomion. RNAcentral describes it as "tRNA-Ser". The record is from RNAcentral. Lineage: Eukaryota; Metazoa; Arthropoda; Insecta; Lepidoptera; Papilionidae.
GAAAUAUAUUAUAAUUAAGCUGCUAACUUAAUUCAUGUGAUUAAAAUCAUAUAUUUCU